CGCCUACGGGUGGCUGCAGUAGGGAAUCUUCCACAAUGGACGCAAGUCUGAUGGAGCAACGCCGCGUGAGUGAAGAAGGGUUUCGGCUCGUAAAGCUCUGUUGGUAGUGAAGAAAGAUAGAGGUAGUAACUGGCCUUUAUUUGACGGUAAUUACCUAGAAAGUCACGGCUAACUACGUGCCAGCAGCCGCGGUAAUACGUAGGUGGCAAGCGUUGUCCGGAUUUAUUGGGCGUAAAGCGAGUGCAGGCGGUUCAAUAAGUCUGAUGUGAAAGCCUUCGGCUCAACCGGAGAAUUGCAUCAGAAACUGUUGAACUUGAGUGCAGAAGAGGAGAGUGGAACUCCAUGUGUAGCGGUGGAAUGCGUAGAUAUAUGGAAGAACACCAGUGGCGAAGGCGGCUCUCUGGUCUGCAACUGACGCUGAGGCUCGAAAGCAUGGGUAGCGAACAGGAUUAGAUACCCCUGUAGUCCCC
Molecule: ribosomal RNA, 470 nt
Filed under: uncultured Lactobacillus sp.
Lineage: Bacteria; Bacillati; Bacillota; Bacilli; Lactobacillales; Lactobacillaceae
Description: bacterial SSU rRNA
Rfam family: Bacterial small subunit ribosomal RNA
Source: RNAcentral